RNAcentral lists this ribosomal RNA (507 nucleotides) under Dysaphis rumecicola. RNAcentral describes it as "partial 16S ribosomal RNA". The record is from RNAcentral. Lineage: Eukaryota; Metazoa; Arthropoda; Insecta; Hemiptera; Aphididae.
AUUAAGUUUAAUUUAAUAUAGGAUCUGCUCAAUGAUUUAUUAAAUAGCUGCAGUAUUUUGACUGUGCAAAGGUAGCAUAAUAAUUAGUCUUUUAAUUGAGGACUUGUAUGAAAGAUUUGAUGAGAAAUAAACUUUAUUAUUUAUAUAUUUAAAAUUUUAUUUUUAAGUAAAAAAGCUUAAAUUAUUUAAAGGGACGAUAAGACCCUAUAAAACUUUAUAAAUGUUAAUUUUAAUUUUUUUGGAUUUAUAAAUAUUUUAAUUUUAUUAUUUAUUUUAUUGGGGUGAUAAAAAAAAUUAUUUAACUUUUUUUAAAAUUUUACAUUAUUUAAUGAAUUUUUGAAUUAAAAUUUUUAAUUAAAGGAAAAAGUUACUUUAGGGAUAACAGCGUAAUUAAUUUUUUAAGUUCAAAUUUAAAAAUUAGUUUGCGACCUCGAUGUUGAAUUAAGAUUAAUCUUAGGUGCAAAAUUUUAAGUAUUAGGUCUGUUCGACCUUUAAAUUCUUACGUGA